GUUUCACUGCUCGGUUAUCCUCAAAGAAGUUCUUCCACAUCUUCCUCUGAAACUUCAUGUUCCAGUAUGUGACCUUGUCCUGUCACUGUUGUGCUUGGCCGUGCUUGGCCGUGCACUUGACUCCUGCCCAAACUUGGAUUUGUGUGAAGGAUGCUUCUAUACAGAGGAAGACUAUAUUGCAGCUAUGCUUUUCUUUUCUGAAAGAAACGGUUUUACGUCUCUAGUCUACACUUGCUUCUGACAGCUAAUGAGUCAAAGAAGAGUUGUUCAAAGCUGCUUGACGUACUCUAUAAAAAAAGUCUUUUAAAGAACCGAGCACACAGACCUCAUCUCUGCCUGCACGCCUUCCACUUUCUAGAGGAAAAUGACGAAGCAGUUGACAUAUUCAAUGACAGAAAGUACAGUAUCUCUAUUUUCCGUGUCAGCCAGCAACCAGAACUAUUCCUGUGGACAUAUAUUUGCAACAUGUAGACAUUGCUAUUUGCAAAAUGUCACAAUGCCUGGAAGAAAUUAGUUCCCGUGCAAGGAGCAGCAGACUCAUCCUGGCCCUACAGAAGACAUCAGUGAUCCACAGAUGAAAGUACUUCAAAGAAUUAGUUGGGGCAUACUCUGCUUCUUUCAUCCAAAAUAGCAGUCUUCUAUUCAAGAAAA
Gallus gallus (chicken) is the source of this 651-nucleotide long non-coding RNA. RefSeq lists it as uncharacterized. The record is from RefSeq and is a predicted model, not a curated record. The transcript is spliced from 2 exons. Lineage: Eukaryota; Metazoa; Chordata; Aves; Galliformes; Phasianidae.